RNAcentral lists this ribosomal RNA (1336 nucleotides) under uncultured bacterium. RNAcentral describes it as "bacterial SSU rRNA". It matches the Rfam family "Bacterial small subunit ribosomal RNA", at positions 28 to 1382 of the family's 1533-position model. The record is from RNAcentral.
GACGAACGCUGGCGGCGCGCCUAACACAUGCAAGUCGAACGGAGCUUAUAGAGCUUGCUUUUUAAGCUUAGUGGCGAACGGGUGAGUAACGCGUGAGUAACCUGCCCUAGAGUGGGGGACAACAGUUGGAAACGACUGCUAAUACCGCAUAAGCCCACGGUACCGCAUGGCACUGAGAGAAAAGGAUUUAUUCGCUUUAGGAUGGACUCGCGUCCAAUUAGCUAGUUGGUGAGGUAACGGCCCACCAAGGCGACGAUUGGUAGCCGGACUGAGAGGUUGAACGGCCACAUUGGGACUGAGACACGGCCCAGACUCCUACGGGAGGCAGCAGUGGGGGAUAUUGCACAAUGGGGGAAACCCUGAUGCAGCGACGCCGCGUGGGGGAAGAAGGUUUUCGGAUUGUAAACUCCUGUCGUUAGGGACGAUAAUGACGGUACCUAACAAGAAAGCACCGGCUAACUACGUGCCAGCAGCCGCGGUAAAACGUAGGGUGCAAGCGUUGUCCGGAAUUACUGGGUGUAAAGGGAGCGCAGGCGGGAAGACAAGUUGGAAGUGAAAACCAUGGGCUCAACCCAUGAAUUGCUUUCAAAACUGUUUUUUCUUGAGUAGUGCAGAGGUAGAUGGAAUUCCCGGUGUAGCGGUGGAAUGCGUAGAUAUCGGGAGGAACACCAGUGGCGAAGGCGGUCUACUGGGCACCAACUGACGCUGAGGCUCGAAAGCAUGGGUAGCAAACAGGAUUAGAUACCCUGGUAGUCCAUGCCGUAAACGAUGAUUAAUAGGUGUUGGGGGAUUGACCCCCUCAGUGCCGCAGUUAACACAAUAAGUAAUCCACCUGGGGAGUACGACCGCAAGGUUGAAACUCAAAGGAAUUGACGGGGGCCCGCACAAGCAGUGGAGUAUGUGGUUUAAUUCGAAGCAACGCGAAGAACCUUACCAGGUCUUGACAUCCGAUGCAUAGCACAGAGAUGUGUGAAAUCCUUCGGGACAUCGAGACAGGUGGUGCAUGGUUGUCGUCAGCUCGUGUCGUGAGAUGUUGGGUUAAGUCCCGCAACGAGUGCAACCCUUAUUGCCAGUUACUACGUUAAGAGGACUCUGGCGAGACUGCCGUUGACAAAACGGAGGAAGGUGGGGAUGACGUCAAAUCAUCAUGCCCUUUAUGACCUGGGCUACACACGUACUACAAUGGCGUUAAACAAAGAGAAGCAAGACCGCGAGGUGGAGCAAAACUCAAAAACAACGUCUCAGUUCAGAUUGCAGGCUGCAACUCGCCUGCAUGAAGUCGGAAUUGCUAGUAAUCGCGGAUCAGCAUGCCGCGGUGAAUACGUUCCCGGGCCUU